RNAcentral lists this ribosomal RNA (1190 nucleotides) under Salmonella enterica subsp. enterica serovar Typhimurium. RNAcentral describes it as "partial 23S ribosomal RNA". It matches the Rfam family "Bacterial large subunit ribosomal RNA", at positions 172 to 1338 of the family's 2925-position model. Lineage: Bacteria; Pseudomonadati; Pseudomonadota; Gammaproteobacteria; Enterobacterales; Enterobacteriaceae. The record is from RNAcentral.
CGAAAGAGGGUACCGAGUGAACUGAAACAUCUAAGUAACUCGAGGAAAAGAAAGUAAAAACGAUUCCCCAAGUAGCGGCGAGCGAACGGGGAUGAGCCUAAACCAUAUAAGUGUCAAGGAUACAGCCGUUGCUUAUAUGGGGUUGUGGGAAGAACGUUUGAAGAACUGUAAGAUAUUCAACAUAUCUAAUGACCGAACUGGAACUAGUUGGAAAGCUAGAUCGUAGAAGGUGAUAAUCCUGUACAGGUAAACUCAUUAGAAUGUAUGUUCUCUCCCAAGUAACAUGGAACACGAGGAAUUCUGUGUGAAUCUGCGAGGACCAUAUCUCGUAAGGCUAAAUACUCUUACUAACCGAUAGCGUAUAGUACCGUGAGGGAAAGGUGAAAAGAACCCCGGGAGGGGAGUGAAAUAGAACCUGAAACUGUGUGCUUACAAGCGGUCAGAGCUCUUCGGAGUGAUGGCGUGCCUUUUGGAGAAUGAUCCUGCGAGUUACGUUCAGUGGCGAGGUUAAGUAUAACGGAGCCGAAGGGAAACCGAGUCUGAAUAGGGCGACAUAGUCGCUGGGCGUAGACGCGAAACCUGGUGAUCUAAGCCUGUCCAGGGUGAAGCUGUGGUAAGACACAGUGGAGGCCCGAACUCACCGCCGUUGAAAAGUUGGGAGAUGAGGUAGGUUUAGGGGUGAAAAGCCAAUCGAACUAGGAGAUAGCUCGUUCUCUCCGAAAUGCAUUUAGGUGCAGCCUUGAGUGUUUAAUUAUGGGGGUAGAGCACUGAAUGAACUAGGGGGCAUAUUGCUUACUGAAUUCAAUCAAACUCCGAAUACCAUAAUUCAAAGCUCAGGAGUGAGACUAUGGGAAUUAACUUCCAUUGUCAAAAGGGAAACAACCCAGACCACCAGCUAAGGUCCCUAAUUAUAACUAAGUGGGAAAGGAGGUGGAGAUUCACAAACAACCAGGAGGUUGGCUUAGAAGCAGCCAUACCUUUAAAGAGUGCGUAAUAGCUCACUGGUCGAGAGUCUCUGCGCCGACAAUGUAACGGGGCUAAGUUAUAAACCGAAGCUGUGGAAUUGCGCAAGCAAUUGGUAGGAGAGCGUUCUGUAGGCCGUUGAAGGAGAAGCGCAAGCAACUCUGGAGGUAUCAGAAGUGAGAAUGCAGGAAUAAGUAGCGAGAAAGGGGGCGAGAAUCCCCCUCGCC